RNAcentral lists this transfer RNA (69 nucleotides) under Apis koschevnikovi. Its description in RNAcentral is "tRNA-Leu". The record is from RNAcentral. Lineage: Eukaryota; Metazoa; Arthropoda; Insecta; Hymenoptera; Apidae.
UUAUUUUAGCAUAAAAGUGCAUUAAAUUUAGAAUUUAAUUAUAUUAAUUAGUUUGAUUAAUAAAUAAUA